RNAcentral lists this ribosomal RNA (445 nucleotides) under uncultured bacterium. RNAcentral's name for it is "bacterial SSU rRNA". It matches the Rfam family "Bacterial small subunit ribosomal RNA", at positions 354 to 796 of the family's 1533-position model. The record is from RNAcentral.
GUGAGGAAUAUUGGGCAAUGCCCGCAAGGGUGACCCAGCAACGCCGCGUGGAGGAUGAAUGCCGUAAGGUUGUAAACUCCUGUUAGAGGGGAAGAAUAGUACCGAUUGGAUCGGUAUUUGACUGUACCCUCAGAGAAAGCCCCGGCUAACUACGUGCCAGCAGCCGCGGUAAUACGUAGGGGGCAAGCGUUGUCCGGAUUUACUGGGUGUAAAGGGCGCGCAGGCGGGAUAAAAAGUCAGAGGUGAAAUCCUACAGCUUAACUGUAGAACUGCCUUUGAUACUUUUAUUCUUGAGUUCGGAAGAGAGAGACGGAAUUCCAGGUGUAGUGGUGAAAUACGUAGAUAUCUGGAAGAACACCAGUUGCGAAGGCGGUCUCUUGGUCCGAUACUGACGCUGAGGCGCGAAAGCGUGGGGAGCAAACAGGAUUAGAAACCCGAGUAGUCC